UACGGAGGAUCCGAGCGUUAUCCGGAUUUAUUGGGUUUAAAGGGUGCGUAGGCGGGAGAUUAAGUCAGCGGUGAAAGUUUGCAGCUUAACUGUAAAAUUGCCGUUGAAACUGAUUUUCUUGAGUGUAAAUAAGGUAGGCGGAAUGUGUUGUGUAGCGGUGAAAUGCAUAGAUAUAACACAGAACCCCGAUUGCGAAGGCAGCUUACCGGGCUACAACUGACGCUGAGGCACGAAAGCGUGGGGAUCAAACAGGAUUAGAUACCCUGGUAGUCCACGCAGUAAACGAUGAAUACUAACUGUUUGCGAUAUACAGUAAGCGGUACAGCGAAAGCGUUAAGUAUUCCACCUGGGGAGUACGUUCGCAAGAAUGAA
Molecule: ribosomal RNA, 372 nt
Filed under: uncultured bacterium
Lineage: Bacteria
Description: bacterial SSU rRNA
Rfam family: Bacterial small subunit ribosomal RNA
Source: RNAcentral